Molecule: ribosomal RNA, 332 nt
Filed under: Macrorhabdus ornithogaster
Lineage: Eukaryota; Fungi; Ascomycota; Saccharomycetes; Saccharomycetales
Description: SSU rRNA
Rfam family: Eukaryotic small subunit ribosomal RNA
Source: RNAcentral
CCACUUCUUAGAGGGACAGUUGGUUUGAAGCCAAAGGAAGCAUGAGGCAAUAACAGGUCUGUGAUGCCCUUAGACGUUCUGGGCUGCACGCGCGCUACACUGACUAAGCCAGCGAGUGGAACCAUGGCUGAGAAGUCUUGGUAAUCUUGUGAAACUUAGUCGUGAUGGGGAUAGAGCAUUGUAAUUAUUGCUCUUGAACGAGGAAUUCCUAGUAAGCGCAAGUCAUCAGCUUGCGUUGAUUACGUCCCUGCCCUUUGUACACACCGCCCGUCGCUAGUACCGAUUGAAUGGCUUAGUGAGGCCUCAGGAUUUGUUUAAGAAAGGAGGCGACU